GAUGAACGCUGGCGGCGUGCCUAAUACAUGCAAGUCGAGCGAACAGACGAGGAGCUUGCUCCUCUGACGUUAGCCGCGGACGGGUGAGUAACAUGAGGAUCACCUAACUAUAAGACUGGGAUAACUUACGGAAACCGAAGCUAAUACCGGAUACUUUCUUGAACCGCAUGGUUCAAUAGCUAAAGACGGUUUUGCUGUCCCUUCUAGAUGGAUCCGCGCCGCAUUAGCAAGUUGGUACGGUAACGGCUUACCAUGGCAACGAUGGGUAGCCGACCUGAGAGCGUGAAGGGGGCCUGUGGGAGUGAGACACGAUCCUGAGACCUACGUGAGGCAGAGGUAGCGAAGGGACGGAAAAGGGCGGAAGACUGACCAAGCGGCGGAGCGCGAAUGAUGAAGGGCUUCGGGUCGUAUGACGCUGUUAGGAGUGAAGAACGAAUUUGUAAGGAGCUAUGCUCGUCGUGACGGUACCUGAACAGGAAGCAACGGCUAACUACGUG
This 497-nucleotide ribosomal RNA is filed under the name uncultured bacterium. RNAcentral's name for it is "partial 16S ribosomal RNA". It matches the Rfam family "Bacterial small subunit ribosomal RNA", at positions 28 to 507 of the family's 1533-position model. The record is from RNAcentral.